GAGUUUGAUCAUGGCUCAGGACGAACGCUGGCGGCGUGCUUAACACAUGCAAGUCGAGCGGAAAGGCCCUUCGGGGUACUCGAGCGGCGAACGGGUGAGUAACACGUGAGUAACCUGCCCUAGACUUUGGGAUAACCCUCGGAAACGGGGGCUAAUACCGGAUAUUCCUGACUGGUCGCAUGGUUGGUUGGGGAAAGUUUUUCGGUCUGGGAUGGACUCGCGGCCUAUCAGCUUGUUGGUGGGGUAAUGGCCUACCAAGGCGACGACGGGUAGCCGGCCUGAGAGGGCGACCGGCCACACUGGGACUGAGACACGGCCCAGACUCCUACGGGAGGCAGCAGUGGGGAAUAUUGCACAAUGGGCGGAAGCCUGAUGCAGCGACGCCGCGUGAGGGAUGACGGCCUUCGGUUG
Molecule: ribosomal RNA, 411 nt
Filed under: uncultured Actinomycetes bacterium
Lineage: Bacteria; Bacillati; Actinomycetota; Actinomycetes
Description: bacterial SSU rRNA
Rfam family: Bacterial small subunit ribosomal RNA
Source: RNAcentral